CCUCCUUUUCUUGCGGGGCCGGGCCUGAGAUCCGCUCCCCACCGUGUGCAGAAAAGGGCUCCAGUCCCCUUGGCGACACGUCUUCCGUGCCAGCUGCUUCCCAUUCGCCAGUUCUGUCCUCGAGCAGUGAGACAGGG
Small nucleolar RNA from Lepus europaeus (European hare), 137 nucleotides. RefSeq annotates it as small nucleolar RNA SNORA57. The record is from RefSeq and is a predicted model, not a curated record. The transcript has a single exon. Lineage: Eukaryota; Metazoa; Chordata; Mammalia; Lagomorpha; Leporidae.